CCCGCCUUAGCGUAGCCUGGUUUAACGCGGCCGGCUGUAGACCGGCAGAUCCCCCGUUCAAAUCGGGGAGGCGGGA
RNAcentral lists this transfer RNA (76 nucleotides) under Candidatus Altarchaeales archaeon. RNAcentral's name for it is "tRNA-Tyr". Lineage: Archaea; Nanobdellati; Candidatus Altarchaeota; Candidatus Altarchaeia; Candidatus Altarchaeales. The record is from RNAcentral.